GGGCAUUUGGCACAGUGGCAGCGUGCACGCUUCGCAUGCGUGAGGUCUAGAGUGGAACAUUCAAUCCCCUGAAUCGUAAUGUCCA
Trametes meyenii is the source of this 85-nucleotide non-coding RNA. Lineage: Eukaryota; Fungi; Basidiomycota; Agaricomycetes; Polyporales; Polyporaceae. The record is from the annotation of a GenBank genome assembly.